Molecule: ribosomal RNA, 222 nt
Filed under: uncultured Pseudomonas sp.
Lineage: Bacteria; Pseudomonadati; Pseudomonadota; Gammaproteobacteria; Pseudomonadales; Pseudomonadaceae
Description: partial 16S ribosomal RNA
Rfam family: Bacterial small subunit ribosomal RNA
Source: RNAcentral
CCGGAGGAAGGUGGGGAUGACGUCAAGUCAUCAUGGCCCUUAGGCCUGGGCUACACACGUGCUACAAUGGUCGGUACAAAGGGUUGCCAAGCCGCGAGGUGGAGCUAAUCCCAUAAAACCCGAAUCCGUAGUCCGGAUCGCAGUCUGCAACUCGACUGCGUGAAGUCGGAAUCGCUAGUAAUCGUGAAUCAGAAUGUCACGGUGAAUACGUUCCCGGGCCUU